This 449-nucleotide ribosomal RNA is filed under the name uncultured bacterium. RNAcentral describes it as "bacterial SSU rRNA". It matches the Rfam family "Bacterial small subunit ribosomal RNA", at positions 328 to 794 of the family's 1533-position model. The record is from RNAcentral.
GAGCCAGACUCCUACGGGAGGCAGCAGUGGGGGAUAUUGCACAAUGGGGGGAACCCUGAUGCAGCGACGCCGCGUGGGUGAAGAAGCGCCUCGGCGCGUAAAGCCCUGUCAGCAGGGAAGAAAAUGACGGUACCUGAAGAAGAAGCCCCGGCUAACUACGUGCCAGCAGCCGCGGUAAUACGUAGGGGGCAAGCGUUAUCCGGAUUUACUGGGUGUAAAGGGGGCGCAGACGGCAGCGCAAGCCAGGAGUGAAAGCCCGGGGCCCAACCCCGGGACUGCUCUUGGAACUGCGCGGCUGGAGUGCAGGAGGGGCAGGCGGAAUUCCGUGUGUAGCGGUGAAAUGCGUAGAUAUACGGAGGAACACCAGUGGCGAAGGCGGCCUGCUGGACAUUAACUGACGCUGAGGCGCGAAAGCGUGGGGAGCAAACAGGAUUAGAUACCCCGGUACC